This 638-nucleotide ribosomal RNA is filed under the name bacterium enrichment culture. RNAcentral's name for it is "bacterial SSU rRNA". It matches the Rfam family "Bacterial small subunit ribosomal RNA", at positions 93 to 749 of the family's 1533-position model. The record is from RNAcentral.
UAGCGGCGGACGGGUGAGUAACACGUGGGUAACCUGCCUCAAAGUGGGGGAUAGCCUUCCGAAAGGAAGAUUAAUACCGCAUAACAUAAGAGAAUCGCAUGAUUUUCUUAUCAAAGAUUUAUUGCUUUGAGAUGGACCCGCGGCGCAUUAGCUAGUUGGUAAGGUAACGGCUUACCAAGGCAACGAUGCGUAGCCGACCUGAGAGGGUGAUCGGCCACAUUGGAACUGAGACACGGUCCAGACUCCUACGGGAGGCAGCAGUGGGGAAUAUUGCGCAAUGGGGGAAACCCUGACGCAGCAACGCCGCGUGGGUGAUGAAGGUCUUCGGAUUGUAAAGCCCUGUUUUCUGGGACGAUAAUGACGGUACCAGAGGAGGAAGCCACGGCUAACUACGUGCCAGCAGCCGCGGUAAUACGUAGGUGGCGAGCGUUGUCCGGAUUUACUGGGCGUAAAGGGUGCGUAGGCGGAUGUUUAAGUGGGAUGUGAAAUCCCCGGGCUUAACCUGGGGGCUGCAUUCCAAACUGGAUAUCUAGAGUGCAGGAGAGGAAAGCGGAAUUCCUAGUGUAGCGGUGAAAUGCGUAGAGAUUAGGAAGAACACCAGUGGCGAAGGCGGCUUUCUGGACUGUAACUGACGCUGA